This 200-nucleotide ribosomal RNA is filed under the name uncultured bacterium. RNAcentral describes it as "partial 16S ribosomal RNA". It matches the Rfam family "Bacterial small subunit ribosomal RNA", at positions 524 to 723 of the family's 1533-position model. The record is from RNAcentral.
UACGGAGGAUCCAAGCGUUAUCCGGAUUUAUUGGGUUUAAAGGGUCCGUAGGCGGGAAAGUCAGUCAGUGGUGAAAUCCUAUAGCUUAACUAUAGCACUGCCAUUGAUACUGCUUUUCUUGAAUUAAGUUGAAGUGGGCGGAAUGUGUCAUGUAGCGGUGAAAUGCAUAGAUAUGACACAGAACACCGAUUGCGAAGGCA